GAACGCACAUUGCGCCCCCUGGUAUUCCGGGGGGCACACCUGUUCGAGCGCCAUUUCAACCCUCAAGCCCCGCUUGGUGAUGGGCCCCGCCUGCGGGCGGGCCCGAAACUCGUGGGCGUCGUCGUUCGGCUCCAAGCGUAGCAAAACCCUCGCUUGGGCGCCCGGACGGAGGCCGCCCGGAACGAAUUUUUACAAGGUUGGCCUCGGAUCAGGUGGGGAUACCCGCUGAACUUAAG
RNAcentral lists this unclassified non-coding RNA (236 nucleotides) under uncultured Venturiaceae. RNAcentral's name for it is "sequence contains 5.8S rRNA gene". The record is from RNAcentral. Lineage: Eukaryota; Fungi; Ascomycota; Dothideomycetes; Venturiales; Venturiaceae.